This 253-nucleotide ribosomal RNA is filed under the name uncultured bacterium. Its description in RNAcentral is "partial 16S ribosomal RNA". It matches the Rfam family "Bacterial small subunit ribosomal RNA", at positions 524 to 776 of the family's 1533-position model. The record is from RNAcentral.
GACGAAGGAUCCAAGCGUUAUCCGGAAUCAUUGGGUUUAAAGGGUCCGUAGGCGGUUUUGUAAGUCAGUGGUGAAAGCCCAUCGCUCAACGGUGGAACGGCCAUUGAUACUGCAAAACUUGAAUUAUUGGGAAGUAACUAGAAUAUGUAGUGUAGCGGUGAAAUGCUUAGAUAUUACAUGGAAUACCAAUUGCGAAGGCAGGUUACUAUCAAUAUAUUGACGCUGAUGGACGAAAGCGUGGGGAGCGAACAGG